UAUUAUAAUUAAUUUUAAUUGUUAAUCAGGGUAGUAAAAGGGAUUUCUUGAAACUCAAAGGAUUUGGCGGUGUUUUAGUCUUUUCAGAGGAAUCUGUUCUGUAAUUGAUAAUACACGAUUUGUUAUACUUAAUUUGGUUAUCAGUUUAUAUACCUCCGUCAUAAGAUUAUUUUUAUUUAAGAAUUAAAUUUUCUUGUUUUUAUAUUAUAAAUUAUGUCAGGUCAAGGUGUAGCUUAUGAUUAAGGAGAAAUGGAUUACAAUAAUUUUAAUUAUUAUGGAUAAUUAUUUUAGAUUAAUUUGAAGGUGGAUUUGAUUGUAAAUUUAUUUUUGAUUUUUUUAUUGAUUGGAGCUCUAAAAUGUGUACAUAUCGCCCGUCGCUCUCAUCAUUUAAAUUGAG
Molecule: ribosomal RNA, 397 nt
Filed under: Macrobinthus jharnae
Lineage: Eukaryota; Metazoa; Arthropoda; Insecta; Orthoptera; Gryllidae
Description: partial small subunit ribosomal RNA
Source: RNAcentral